Non-coding RNA from Podarcis lilfordi (Lilford's wall lizard), 74 nucleotides. NCBI's taxonomy places the organism in Eukaryota, Metazoa, Chordata, Lepidosauria, Squamata, Lacertidae. The record is from the annotation of a GenBank genome assembly.
GCCUGGGAUAGCUCAGCUGGCAGAGCACGAGGCUCUUCAACUCAGGGUCUUGGAUUCGAGUCCUACCUUGGGCA